RNAcentral lists this ribosomal RNA (477 nucleotides) under uncultured bacterium. RNAcentral describes it as "bacterial SSU rRNA". It matches the Rfam family "Bacterial small subunit ribosomal RNA", at positions 32 to 518 of the family's 1533-position model. The record is from RNAcentral.
AGGACGACGCUGGCGGCAUGCCUAACACAUGCAAGUCGAACGGAGCUUAAGAAGCUUGCUUUUAAGCUUAGUGGCGGACGGGUGAGUAACGCGUGAGUAACCUGCCUCUUAGUGGGGAAUAAUGUACUGAAAAGGACGCUAAUACCGCAUAAUGUAUUGAGAUCGCAUGGUUUUGAUACCAAAGAUUUAUCGCUGAGAGAUGGACUCGCGUCCGAUUAGCCAGUUGGUGGGGUAACGGCCUACCAAAGCGACGAUCGGUAGCCGGACUGAGAGGUUGAACGGCCACAUUGGGACUGAGACACGGCCCAGACUCCUACGGGAGGCAGCAGUGGGGGAUAUUGCGCAAUGGGGGAAACCCUGAACCGCAGCAAUGCCGCGUGGAGGAUGAAGGUCUUCGGAUUGUAAACUCCUUUUGUCAGGGACGAAAAUGACGGUACCUGACGAAUAAGCUCCGGCUAACUACGUGCCAGCCGCUGC